RNAcentral lists this ribosomal RNA (540 nucleotides) under Cylindrospermum sp. ISB57. Its description in RNAcentral is "bacterial SSU rRNA". It matches the Rfam family "Bacterial small subunit ribosomal RNA", at positions 102 to 676 of the family's 1533-position model. The record is from RNAcentral. Lineage: Bacteria; Bacillati; Cyanobacteriota; Cyanophyceae; Nostocales; Nostocaceae.
ACGGGUGAGUAACGCGUGAGAAUCUAGCUUUAGGUUCGGGACAACCAUUGGAAACGGUGGCUAAUACCGGAUGUGCCGAAAGGUAAAAGGCUUGCUGCCUAAAGAUGAGCUCGCGUCUGAUUAGCUAGUUGGUGGGGUAAGAGCCCACCAAGGCGACGAUCAGUAGCUGGUCUGAGAGGAUGAUCAGCCACACUGGGACUGAGACACGGCCCAGACUCCUACGGGAGGCAGCAGUGGGGAAUUUUCCGCAAUGGGCGAAAGCCUGACGGAGCAAUACCGCGUGAGGGAGGAAGGCUCUUGGGUUGUAAACCUCUUUUCUCAAGGAAUAAGUUCUGAAGGUACUUGAGGAAUAAGCAUCGGCUAACUCCGUGCCAACAGCCGCGGUAAUACGGAGGAUGCAAGCGUUAUCCGGAAUGAUUGGGCGUAAAGCGUCCGCAGGUGGUGAUGUAAGUCUGCUGUCAAAGAAUCAGGCUUAACCUGAUAGAGGCAGUGGAAACUACAUGACUAGAGUGCGUUCGGGGCAGAAGGAAUUCCUGGUGU